This 370-nucleotide ribosomal RNA is filed under the name uncultured eukaryote. Its description in RNAcentral is "partial 18S ribosomal RNA". It matches the Rfam family "Eukaryotic small subunit ribosomal RNA", at positions 592 to 976 of the family's 1831-position model. The record is from RNAcentral.
CAAUAGCGUAUAUUAAAGUUGUUGCAGUUAAAAAGCUCGUAGUUGGACCUUGGACCUGGACAGGCGGUCCGCCUCACGGCGAGUACUGUCUUGCUGGGUCUUUCCUCUUGGUGAUCUGUUGUUUCGGCAGCAGGGAACCAGGACCUUUACUUUGAAAAAAUUAGAGUGUUCAAAGCAGGCUCGACGCCGGAAUAUAUUAGCAUGGAAUAAUAAAAUAGGACGUGCGGUUCUAUUUUGUUGGUUUUUGGAAUCGCCGUAAUGAUUAAUAGGGACAGUCGGGGGCAUUAGUACUCACAUGCUAGAGGUGAAAUUCUUGGAUUUUGUGAAGGCUAACUUCUGCGAAAGCAUUUGCCAAGGAUGUUUUCAUUAA